RNAcentral lists this ribosomal RNA (237 nucleotides) under uncultured bacterium. Its description in RNAcentral is "partial 16S ribosomal RNA". It matches the Rfam family "Bacterial small subunit ribosomal RNA", at positions 524 to 758 of the family's 1533-position model. The record is from RNAcentral.
UACGUAGGUGGCAAGCGUUUAUCCGGAAUUAUUGGGCGUAAAGCGCGCGCAGGUGGUUUCUUAAGUCUGAUGUGAAAGCCCACGGCUCAACCGUGGAGGGUCAUUGGAAACUGGGAGACUUGAGUGCAGAAGAGGAAAGUGGAAUUCCAUGUGUAGCGGUGAAAUGCGUAGAGAUAUGGAGGAACACCAGUGGCGAAGGCGACUUUCUGGUCUGUAACUGACACUGGAGGCGCGAAA